RNAcentral lists this ribosomal RNA (400 nucleotides) under uncultured bacterium. RNAcentral describes it as "bacterial SSU rRNA". It matches the Rfam family "Bacterial small subunit ribosomal RNA", at positions 359 to 776 of the family's 1533-position model. The record is from RNAcentral.
GAAUAUUGGACAAUGGGGGCAACCCUGAUCCAGCCAUGCCGCGUGAGUGAAGAAGGCCUUAGGGUUGUAAAGCUCUUUCAGCAGGGAAGAUAAUGACGGUACCUGCAGAAGAAGCCCCGGCUAACUCCGUGCCAGCAGCCGCGGUAAUACGUAGGGUGCAAGCGUUAAUCGGAAUUACUGGGCGUAAAGCGUACGCAGGCGGCUGUGCAAGACAGGUGUGAAAUCCCCGGGCUUAACCUGGGAACUGCAUUUGUGACUGCAUAGCUAGAGUCCGUAAGAGGGGGGCGGAAUUCCACGUGUAGCAGUGAAAUGCGUAGAGAUGUGGAGGAACACCGAUGGCGAAGGCAGCCCCCUGGGAUGAGACUGACGCUCAUGUACGAAAGCGUGGGGAGCAAACAGG